RNAcentral lists this ribosomal RNA (237 nucleotides) under uncultured bacterium. RNAcentral's name for it is "partial 16S ribosomal RNA". It matches the Rfam family "Bacterial small subunit ribosomal RNA", at positions 96 to 334 of the family's 1533-position model. The record is from RNAcentral.
CGGCGAACGGGUGAGUAACGCGUGGAUAACCUGCCCUGAGGUGUGGAGCAACCGGGGGAAACUCCGGCUAAUACCGCAUGAUACCGAGAGGUCAAAGGAGGCGCCCGCAAGGGGCUUCCGCCAUAGGAGGGGUCCGCGUUCGAUUAGCUAGUUGGCAGGGUAAUGGCCUACCAAGGCGACGAUCGAUAGCCGGCCUGAGAGGGUGAUCGGCCACACCGGAACUGAGACACGGUCCGG